RNAcentral lists this ribosomal RNA (819 nucleotides) under uncultured bacterium. Its description in RNAcentral is "bacterial SSU rRNA". It matches the Rfam family "Bacterial small subunit ribosomal RNA", at positions 83 to 935 of the family's 1533-position model. The record is from RNAcentral.
CCCGCAAGGGCACCGGCAGACGAGGUAGUAACACGUAGGUACGCACCCCAAAGUCGGGCAUAGCUACUCGAAAGAGUAGGUAAUUCCCGAUAGUCUCGUAAGAGUAAAGAUUUAUCGCUUUGGGAGCGGCCUGCGGAGUAUCAGCUAGUUGGUGAGGUAAUGGCUCACCAAGGCUAUGACGCUUAGGGGCGCUGAGAGGCGGACCCCCACCGAUGGAACUGAGACACGGUCCAUACACCUACGGGUGGCUGCAGUCAAGAACCUUCCGCAAUGGGCGAAAGCCUGACGGAGCGACGCCGCGUGGUUGAUGAAGUCCUUCGGGACGUAAAAACCUUUUGUAGACUAGAAAGUUAUUGAUCAGUCUAAGAAUAAGGGGUUGCUAAACUCGUGCCAGCAGCAGCGGUAAUACGAGUGCCCCGAGCGUUAUCCGGAAUUAUUGGGCGUAAAGCGUGUGUAGGUGGUUUUGUUAGUCUCCUGCGAAAUUCUUCGGCUUAACCGGGGCGUGAUGGGAGAAACGGCAAAACUUGAGGGUGCGAGGGGUCUAUAGAACUCUAGGUGUAGGGGUGAAAUCCGUUGAUAUCUAGGGGAAUACCAAAAGCGAAGGCAGUAGACUGGCGCAUUCCUGACACUGAGACACUAAAGCGUGGGUAGCGAAUGGGAUUAGAUACCCCAGUAGUCCACGCCCUAAACGAUCCUUUCUUGUUUUGGGGAGUAUCGACCCUCUCCGAGACGAAGCUAACGCGUUAAGAAAGGCGCCUGGGUAGUACGGCCGCAAGGCUAAAACUCAAAGGAAUAGACGGGGACUUGCACAAGCAGUGG